This 392-nucleotide ribosomal RNA is filed under the name uncultured Gammaproteobacteria bacterium. RNAcentral describes it as "bacterial SSU rRNA". It matches the Rfam family "Bacterial small subunit ribosomal RNA", at positions 370 to 779 of the family's 1533-position model. The record is from RNAcentral. Lineage: Bacteria; Pseudomonadati; Pseudomonadota; Gammaproteobacteria.
AAUGGAGGAAACUCUGAUGCAGCGAUGCCGCGUGAGUGAAGAAGGCCUUUGGGUUGUAAAGCUCUUUCGUCGGGGAAGAAAAUGACUGUACCCGAAUAAGAGGGUCCGGCUAACUUCGUGCCAGCAGCCGCGGUAAUACGAAGGGACCUAGCGUAGUUCGGAAUUACUGGGCUUAAAGAGUUCGUAGGUGGUUGAAAAAGUUGGUGGUGAAAUCCCAGAGCUUAACUCUGGAACUGCCAUCAAAACUUUUCAGCUAGAGUAUGAUAGAGGAAAGCAGAAUUUCUAGUGUAGAGGUGAAAUUCGUAGAUAUUAGAAAGAAUACCAAUUGCGAAGGCAGCUUUCUGGAUCAUUACUGACACUGAGGAACGAAAGCAUGGGUAGCGAAGAGGAUU